AGUGAACGCUAGCGGUAGGCCUAACACAUGCAAGUCGAACGGCAGCACAGUAGUAGCUUGCUCUUACGUGUGGCGAGUGACGGACGGGCGAGAAACAUAUCCAAAUCUCCUUUUUCUUGGGGGAUAACGGAGGGAAACCUACUCUAUUACCCCAUACGAACUACGGGUGAAAGCAGUUGUUCUUCGAACCUCGCCCGAUUGAAUGAGCCGAUGUCGGGUUUGCUAGUUGGCGGGGUAAAGGCCCACCCAAGCGACGAUCCGAAGCGGGUCUGAGAGGAUGAUACGCCACACUGGAAGGGAAACACGGUACAGACUCCUACGGGAGGGAGCAGAGGGGAAUGGUGGACAAGGGGCGGGAGCCUGAUCCAGCCAUACCGCGUGGGUGGAGAAGGCCUUCGGGUUGUAAAGCUCUUUUGUUGGGAAAGAAAAGCAGCAGGGUGAUACCCCGCGGUUCUGACGGUACCCAAAGAAUAAGCACCGGCUAACUUCGUG
RNAcentral lists this ribosomal RNA (492 nucleotides) under uncultured bacterium. RNAcentral's name for it is "partial 16S ribosomal RNA". It matches the Rfam family "Bacterial small subunit ribosomal RNA", at positions 29 to 507 of the family's 1533-position model. The record is from RNAcentral.